CCUACGGGAGGCUGCAGUGAGGAAUAUUGGUCAAUGGGCGCGAGCCUGAACCAGCCAAGUAGCGUGAAGGAUGACUGCCCUACGGGUUGUAAACUUCUUUUAUAAAGGAAUAAAGUGCGGCACGUGUGCCUUUUUGCGUGUACUUUAUGAAUAAGGAUCGGCUAACUCCGUGCCAGCAGCCGCGGUAAUACGGCGGAUCCGAGCGUUAUCCGGAUUUAUUGGGUUUAAAGGGUGCGUAGAUGGGUUGUUAAGUCAGUUGUGAAAGUUUGCGGCUCAACCGUAAAAUUGCAAUUGAUACUGGCAGUCUUGAGUACAGUUGAGGUAGGCGGAAUUCGUGGUGUAGCGGUGAAAUGCUUAGAUAUCACGAAGAACUCCGAUUGCGAAGGCAGCUUACUAAACUGAGACUGACAUUAAUGCUCGAAAGUGUGGGUAUCAAACAGGAUUAGAUACCCCUGUAGUC
Molecule: ribosomal RNA, 460 nt
Filed under: uncultured bacterium
Lineage: Bacteria
Description: partial 16S ribosomal RNA
Rfam family: Bacterial small subunit ribosomal RNA
Source: RNAcentral